This 233-nucleotide ribosomal RNA is filed under the name uncultured bacterium. Its description in RNAcentral is "partial 16S ribosomal RNA". It matches the Rfam family "Bacterial small subunit ribosomal RNA", at positions 923 to 1163 of the family's 1533-position model. The record is from RNAcentral.
GCACAAGCAGUGGAGUAUGUGGUUUAAUUCGAAGCAACGCGAAGAACCUUACCAGGUCUUGACAUCCGAUGCAUAGCGCAGAGAUGCGUGAAGUCCUUCGGGACAUCGAGACAGGUGGUGCAUGGUUGUCGUCAGCUCGUGUCGUGAGAUGUUGGGUUAAGUCCCGCAACGAGCGCAACCCUUAUUGCCAGUUACUACGUAAGAGGACUCUGGCGAGACUGCCGUUGACAAAA